UAAUAUUUAUUAUGAAAAGUAUUAGUCAAAAUAAAAAUAAAAAAAUAUUAGUCAAAAUAAAAAAAUCAAAGAUUCCACUAAAAUAAAAUUUUAAAUUUUCAACAAAAAAAAAGAUAGUCAAUCAAAUCUUGUAUCAAAUCUAUGAAAACAAAACCAUAAGAAAUAUCUUGAAGAGGAUUAUAUGAAAUAAAACAUUAAAAAG
Molecule: long non-coding RNA, 202 nt
Filed under: Musa acuminata (dwarf banana)
Lineage: Eukaryota; Viridiplantae; Streptophyta; Magnoliopsida; Zingiberales; Musaceae
Description: long non-coding RNA (MACU_LNC001995)
Source: RNAcentral